GACGAACGCUGGCGGCGUGCUUAACACAUGCAAGUCGAACGGAAAGGCCCUGCUUUUGUGGGGUGCUCGAGUGGCGAACGGGUGAGUAACACGUGAGUAACCUGCCCUUGACUUUGGGAUAACUUCAGGAAACUGGGGCUAAUACCGGAUAGGAGCUCCUGCUGCAUGGUGGGGGUUGGAAAGUUUCGGCGGUUGGGGAUGGACUCGCGGCUUAUCAGCUUGUUGGUGGGGUAGUGGCUUACCAAGGCUUUGACGGGUAGCCGGCCUGAGAGGGUGACCGGCGACAUUGGGACUGAGAUACGGCCCAGACUCCUGCGGGAGGCAGCAGUGGGGAAUAUUGCACAAUGGGCGGAAGCCUGAUGCAGCAACGCCGCGUGCGGGAUGACGGCCUUCGGGUUGUAAACCGCUUUCGCCUGUGACGAAGCGUGAGUGACGGUAAUGGGUAAAGAAGCACCGGCUAACUACGUG
This 468-nucleotide ribosomal RNA is filed under the name uncultured bacterium. RNAcentral's name for it is "partial 16S ribosomal RNA". It matches the Rfam family "Bacterial small subunit ribosomal RNA", at positions 28 to 507 of the family's 1533-position model. The record is from RNAcentral.